This 253-nucleotide ribosomal RNA is filed under the name uncultured bacterium. Its description in RNAcentral is "partial 16S ribosomal RNA". It matches the Rfam family "Bacterial small subunit ribosomal RNA", at positions 524 to 776 of the family's 1533-position model. The record is from RNAcentral.
GACGAACCGUGCGAACGUUAUUCGGAAUCACUGGGCUUAAAGGGCGCGUAGGCGGGUCGGUAAGUCAGGGGUGAAAUCCCACGGCCCAACCGUGGAAGUGCCUCUGAUACUGCCGGCCUCGAGGGGGAUAGGGGCGUGCGGAACUCAGGGUGGAGCGGUGAAAUGCGUAGAUAUCCUGAGGAACACCGGUGGCGAAAGCGGCGCGCUGGAUCACUUCUGACGCUGAGGCGCGAAAGCCAGGGGAGCAAACGGG